GAUGAACGCUAGCGGGAGGCCUAACACAUGCAAGCCGAGCGGUAUUGUUUCUUCGGAAAUGAGAGAGCGGCGUACGGGUGCGGAACACGUGUGCAACCUGCCUUUAUCUGGGGGAUAGCCUUUCGAAAGGAAGAUUAAUACUCCAUAAUAUAUUGAACGGCAUCGUUUAAUAUUGAAAGCUCCGGCGGAUAGAGAUGGGCACGCGCAGGAUUAGCUAGUUGGUGAGGUAACGGCUCACCAAGGCGAUGAUCUUUAGGGGGCCUGAGAGGGUGAUCCCCCACACUGGUACUGAGACACGGACCAGACUCCUACGGGAGGCAGCAGUGAGGAAUAUUGGUCAAUGGGUGCAAGCCUGAACCAGCCAUCCCGCGUGAAGGACGACUGCCCUAUGGGUUGUAAACUUCUUUUGUAUAGGGAUAAACCUACCCUCGUGAGGGUAGCUGAAGGUACUAUACGAAUAAGCACCGGCUAACUCCGUGCCAGCAGCCGCGGUAAUACGGAGGGUGCAAGCGUUAUCCGGAUUUAUUGGGUUUAAAGGGUCCGUAGGCGGACUUAUAAGUCAGUGGUGAAAGCCUGUCGCUUAACGAUAGAACUGCCAUUGAUACUGUAAGUCUUGAGUAUAUUUGAGGUAGCUGGAAUAAGUAGUGUAGCGGUGAAAUGCAUAGAUAUUACUUAGAACACCAAUUGCGAAGGCAGGUUACCAAGAUAUAACUGACGCUGAGGGACGAAAGCGUGGGGAGCGAACGGGAUUAGAUACCCUGGUAGUCCACGCCGUAAACGAUGCUAACUCGUUUUUGGGCUUUAGGGUUCAGAGACCAAGCGAAAGUGAUAAGUUAGCCACCUGGGGAGUACGCUCGCAAGAGUGAAACUCAAAAGAAUUGACGGGGGCCCGCACAAGCGGUGGAUUAUGUGGUUUAAUUCGAUGAUACGCGAGGAACCUUACCAAGACUUAAAUGGGAAUUGACAGCUUUAGAAAUAGAGCUUUCUUCGGACAAUUUUCAAGGUGCUGCAUGGUUGUCGUCAGCUCGUGCCGUGAGGUGUUAGGUUAAGUCCUGCAACGAGCGCAACCCCUGUCACUAGUUGCCAUCAUUCAGUUGGGGACUCUAGUGAGACUGCCUACGCAAGUAGAGAGGAAGGUGGGGAUGACGUCAAAUCAUCACGGCCCUUACGUCUUGGGCCACACACGUAAUACAAUGGCCGGUACAGAGGGCAGCUACACAGCGAUGUGAUGCAAAUCUCGAAAGCCGGUCUCAGUUCGGAUUGGAGUCUGCAACUCGACUCUAUGAAGCUGGAAUCGCUAGUAAUCGCGCAUCAGCCAUGGCGCGGUGAAUACGUUCCCGGGCCU
RNAcentral lists this ribosomal RNA (1345 nucleotides) under uncultured bacterium. Its description in RNAcentral is "bacterial SSU rRNA". It matches the Rfam family "Bacterial small subunit ribosomal RNA", at positions 28 to 1381 of the family's 1533-position model. The record is from RNAcentral.